RNAcentral lists this long non-coding RNA (402 nucleotides) under Coturnix japonica (Japanese quail). RNAcentral's name for it is "lncRNA (ENSCJPG00005002150.1)". The record is from RNAcentral. Lineage: Eukaryota; Metazoa; Chordata; Aves; Galliformes; Phasianidae.
AUGGGGGAUAUGAGGCCAUUGGGGACACUGGGGACAAUGGGGUCAAUGAGAUCAAUGGGGUCAAUGGGAUCAAUGGGGACAAUGGGAUCAAUGGGGACAUUGGAGUCAGUGGGGUCAGUGGGGCCAAUGGGAACAUUAGGGACACUGGGAUCAAUGGGGUCUAUGAGGUCAAUGGGGUCUAUGGGAACAUUAGUGGACACUGGGGUCAAUGGGGUUUAUGGGGUCAAUGGGGUCUAUAGGAUCAAUGGGGUCAUUGGGGUCUAUAGGAUCAAUGGGGUCAAUGGGGUCAGUGGGGUUUAUGAGGUCAAUGGGGUCUAUAGGAUCAAUGGGGUCUAUGGAGUCUAUGGGAUCAAUGGGGUCAAUGGGGAUCAAUGGGGUCAAUGGGGACAUUAGUGAACACUG